UACGUAGGGUGCGAGCGUUAAUCGGAAUUACUGGGCGUAAAGCGUGCGCAGGCGGUUAUUUAAGUCAGGUGUGAAAGCCCUGGGCUUAACCUAGGAAUUGCGCUUGAGACUGGAUAGCUUGGAGUGCGGCAGAGGGAGGUGGAAUUCCACGUGUAGCAGUGAAAUGCGUAGAGAUGUGGAGGAACACCGAUGGCGAAGGCAGCCUCCUGGACCACGACUGACGCUGAGUGAGCGAAAGCCAGGGGAGCAAACGGG
Molecule: ribosomal RNA, 255 nt
Filed under: uncultured bacterium
Lineage: Bacteria
Description: partial 16S ribosomal RNA
Rfam family: Bacterial small subunit ribosomal RNA
Source: RNAcentral